AUUGAACGCUGGCGGAAUGCUUUACACAUGCAAGUCGAGCGGCAGCACGGGGGCAGCCCUGGUGGCGAGUGGCGAACGGGUGAGUAAUACAUCGGAACGUGCCCGGUCGUGGGGGAUAACGUAGCUACAGUUACGCUAAUACCGCAUACGAUCUGAGGAUGAAAGCGGGGGACCUUCGGGCCUCGCGCGAUCGGCGCGGCCGAUGUCAUAUUAGGUAGUUGGUGGGGUAAAGGCCUACCAAGCCGACGAUCUGUAGCUGGUCUGAGAGGACGACCAGCCACACUGGGACUGAGACACGGCCCAGACUCCUACGGGAGGCAGCAGUGGGGAAUUUUGGACAAUGGGCGAAAGCCUGAUCCAGCCAUUCCGCGUGCAGGACGAAGGCCUUCGGGUUGUAAAAUGCUUUUGUACGGAACGAAAAGGCUCUGGCUAAUACCUGGGGCUCAUGACGGUACCGUAAGAAUAAGCACCGGCUAACUACGUG
RNAcentral lists this ribosomal RNA (484 nucleotides) under uncultured bacterium. Its description in RNAcentral is "partial 16S ribosomal RNA". It matches the Rfam family "Bacterial small subunit ribosomal RNA", at positions 30 to 507 of the family's 1533-position model. The record is from RNAcentral.